AAUGAACGCUGGCGGCAUGCCUAACACAUGCAAGUCGAACGAGACCUUCGGGUCUAGUGGCGCACGGGUGCGUAACGCGUGGGAACCUGCCCUUAGGUUCGGAAUAACUCCCCGAAAGGGGUGCUAAUACCGGAAAAUGUCUUCGGACCAAAGAUUUAUCGCCUUUGGAUGGGCCCGCGUUGGAUUAGCUUGUUGGUAGGGUAAAAGCCUACCAAGGCGACGAUACAUAGCUGGUCUGAGAGGAUGAUCAGCCACACUGGGACUGAGACACGGCCCAGACUCCUACGGGAGGCAGCAGUGGGGAAUAUUGGACAAUGGGCGAAAGCCUGAUCCAGCAAUGCCGCGUGAGUGAUGAAGGCCUUAGGGUUGUAAAGCUCUUUUACCCGGGAUGAUAAUGACAGUACCGGGAGAAUAAGCUCCGGCUAACUCCGUG
This 433-nucleotide ribosomal RNA is filed under the name uncultured bacterium. RNAcentral describes it as "partial 16S ribosomal RNA". It matches the Rfam family "Bacterial small subunit ribosomal RNA", at positions 29 to 507 of the family's 1533-position model. The record is from RNAcentral.